Long non-coding RNA from Pezoporus occidentalis (night parrot), 716 nucleotides. RefSeq lists it as uncharacterized. The transcript has 2 exons. The record is from RefSeq and is a predicted model, not a curated record. Lineage: Eukaryota; Metazoa; Chordata; Aves; Psittaciformes; Psittacidae.
AUUCUACAGCCGGCUAGGUGCUGAGUGGACCUUCCAGCUCAAAUUAAAUUGGCCUGCUGCAUCAGAAAGAAUCAAUUCCAGAAGUGUCUAGAACAUGUAACUUUUCUUCUUUCUCCAGUUUGUUUAUAGGAAGAACUUAUAUGAACUACAAUCAAUUUAUACCACCUGUGUGAUUGGUUCUACCUGUUAUCUAUCUACCAGUAACAAUCUCCCUGAAAACUGGAAUAGAAACGCAAGCUCCUUCCUUCUUAGGAUAUCAUAAAAAUGUAGUUGUACCACUUCCCCUCCAUUACUGAGUUUUGGGAGUUUAUUUGCUCCCCAGUCUCUCCCAUCUGCAUAAUCCCAAACAGAAAAAGUGAGACCAAGACAUUGUAAACUGUUGGUUGCAGAGGUGCGAGUAGUUGGAGGAUACUAUCAGUAGCGCUUACAGUCACAGAAAGGAGCAGUGUUUGCUUCUCGGGUUUCAUUGACUUCUGGUCUGUGUCUCUCCAUCUGAACUAUCUUUAUUCCUGUACCAUUAUACAGUGGACCCACAAAUGUCAUAAAGUUAACUUUCCAAGAGAAUUACAAUGAUGCUCUGCAAGACCUGCUUUUAAAAGUAUUUAAAAAACAACCUUUUUGUAGGUUAAUAGUUUUAUAUAAUGACUUAUUUUUUUAGCUGUGCUUUGAAAAAGUUGCUUUGUGUGUAUAUCUUUAAAUAAAAAUAGCUGAUCAUU